RNAcentral lists this ribosomal RNA (260 nucleotides) under uncultured bacterium. Its description in RNAcentral is "partial 16S ribosomal RNA". It matches the Rfam family "Bacterial small subunit ribosomal RNA", at positions 793 to 1055 of the family's 1533-position model. The record is from RNAcentral.
GUCCAUGCCGUAACGAUGUCUACUAGCCGUUGGGCCUUUGAGGCUUUAGUGGCGCAGCUAACGCGAUAAGUAGACCGCCUGGGGAGUACGGUCGCAAGACUAAACUCAAAGGAAUUGACGGGGACCCGCACAAGCGGUGGAGCAUGUGGUUUAAUUCGAAGCAACGCGAAGAACCUUACCAGGUCUUGACAUCCCUUGACACCUCUAGAGAUAGAGCGUUCCCUUCGGGGACAAGGUGACAGGUGGUGCAUGGUUGUCGU